RNAcentral lists this ribosomal RNA (430 nucleotides) under Myxine greggi. RNAcentral describes it as "partial large subunit ribosomal RNA". It matches the Rfam family "Bacterial large subunit ribosomal RNA", at positions 1965 to 2568 of the family's 2925-position model. The record is from RNAcentral. Lineage: Eukaryota; Metazoa; Chordata; Myxini; Myxiniformes; Myxinidae.
UCAAUUGUCUAUUAAUUUUAGACUAGAAUGAAUGGAUUAACGAAAGCCGAACUGUCUCCUAUUUCCUAUCAAUGAAAUUAACCUCUCUGUCCAAAGGCAGAGAUUAACCUAUAAGACGAAAAGACCCUAAAAGCUUCAAAUAUUAGAUUACCUAGCUUAAACAACAACUAAAGAAAAGUUUUAAUUCCUAAAAUUUGGUUGGGGCAACCAUUGAUAUUAAAGAAUCAUCAAUAAUUUAACUAAUAACUUGCAUAAUAUCAGAGUUACAUCUCAAUUAAGUAAGAAACUUAUAAAAAUGACCCAGAAAACUGAUCAAUGAACAAGUUACUUUAGGGAUAACAGCGCUAUUUCUUUUUAAAGUCCCCAUCGACAAAGAAGCUUACGACCUCGAUGUUGGAUUAAGAUAUCCAAGUGGUGCAAAAGCUACUAA